RNAcentral lists this ribosomal RNA (310 nucleotides) under uncultured bacterium. RNAcentral's name for it is "bacterial SSU rRNA". It matches the Rfam family "Bacterial small subunit ribosomal RNA", at positions 30 to 334 of the family's 1533-position model. The record is from RNAcentral.
AUUGAACGCUGGCGGUAUGCUUAACACAUGCAAGUCGAACGGUAACAGAACUAGCUUGCUAGUUGCUGACGAGUGGCGGACGGGUGAGUAACGCGUAGGGAUCUACCUGACAAUGGGGGAUAGCCCGGUGAAAACCGGAUUAAUACCGCAUACGUCCUAUGGGAGAAAGGGUGCCUCUUCUUGAAAGCAUUCGUUGUCAGAUGAACCUGCGUAAGAUUAGCUAGUUGGUGGGGUAAUGGCCUACCAAGGCGACGAUCUUUAGCUGGUCUGAGAGGAUGAUCAGCCACACUGGGACUGAGACACGGCCCAG